This 722-nucleotide unclassified non-coding RNA is filed under the name Bombus terrestris (buff-tailed bumblebee). Its description in RNAcentral is "misc RNA ENSBTSG00005026208.1". Lineage: Eukaryota; Metazoa; Arthropoda; Insecta; Hymenoptera; Apidae. The record is from RNAcentral.
UGCUGAUAUUGUAAUACCUUCAAUCAACUAACAACGAAUAAAUUAAAAUAUAGUUAAAUCAACAUAACUCAGACGAAAUAACUACGUUGCCAAUUGUCUAUCCCUAAUAACUUUAAUCCUCUCCCGUGCCAGUAUUCCUGCGCAUAGCAGGUUAGCCGAAAGGUGGAAUUCGUUUGCCAGUUGCAUCAAACGUAAGUCAACGCUACCCAUUAAUCACGAGUUAGUAGAUAAUAGACUCUCACCUAGUUCAAACCCCACGACAGACAGGUGUACAAGGUUUGUUUUCCUACAGGCAAGAAAGUGCUUACAGAGGCACUUCCAGACUGGGAAUCCAAAAGACACGAUAGACAAACAAUACCCAUCAUACACUAACAAUCCUAACUUAAAGAAAAUAAUAAUAAUAAAAGGAAAUUCUUUGAAAUAGUCCUUAGACUAUUUCUGGUGGCAGCAACUACCAUAUUAAUCGGACAUCUCGAUUAAUAUUUCAUAAACAAUCAUACCAUUUCAAUUUUCCCCUUCCGAUUAAACUCAAAAUAACACAACAAAAAAUUUUAUCUGGAUUUAGUCUAGACUAACACGGAAGGCAUAACACGACCGAAACGAACAUAACAGAACGUAACAGUAAAAUAUAAAUAGAUAAAUUUUUGGUGGCACCGGUGGGAUACGCUCCACAGAGGAUUAAAGUUAUUACUGUCAUUGAUAAAAUAUAUACCUGAAAUAUA